AAAAGAAACCAACUGGGAUUGCCCUAGUAACGGCGAGUGAAGCGGCAACAGCUCAAAUUUGAAAUCUGGCCCUCUCCGGGGGUCCGAGUUGUAAUUUGCAGAGGGCGCUUUGGCUUUGGUAGCGGUCUAAGUUCCUUGGAACAGGACAUCACAGAGGGUGAGAAUCCCGUACGUGGUCGCCCGCCAUUGCCGUGUAAAGCCCCUUCGACGAGUCGAGUUGUUUGGGAAUGCAGCUCUAAAUGGGAGGUAAAUUUCUUCUAAAGCUAAAUACCGGCCAGAGACCGAUAGCGCACAAGUAGAGUGAUCGAAAGAUGAAAAGCACUUUGGAAAGAGAGUCAAAUAGCACGUGAAAUUGUUGAAAGGGAAGCGCUUGCAGCCAGACUUGCCCGCAGUUGCUCACCCAGGCUCUUGCCUGGGGCACUCUUCUGCGGGCAGGCCAGCAUCAGUUUGGGCGGCUGGAUAAAGGCCUCUGUCAUGUAUCUUCCUUCGGGAUGACCUUAUAGGGGAGGCGUAACACGGUCAGCCCGGACUGAGGACCGCGCAUCUGCUAGGAUGCUGGCGUAAUGGCUGUAAGCGGCCCGUCUUGAAACACGGACCAAGGAGUCUAACAUCUAUGCGAGUGUUUGGGUGUCAAGCCCGGGCGCGCAAUGAAAGUGAACGGAGGUGGGAACCCCCUCUGGGGGCGCACCAUCGACCGAUCCUGAUGUCUUCGGAUGGAUUUGAGUAAGAGCAUAGCUGUUGGGACCCGAAAGAUGGUGAACUAUGCUUGAAUAGGGUGAAGCCAGAGGAAACUCUGGUGGAGGCUCGCAGCGGUUCUGACGUGCAAAUCGAUCGUCAAAUUUGGGCAUAGGGGCGAAAGACUAAUCGAACUAU
This 873-nucleotide ribosomal RNA is filed under the name Pseudoxylomyces elegans. RNAcentral describes it as "partial large subunit ribosomal RNA". It matches the Rfam family "Eukaryotic large subunit ribosomal RNA", at positions 57 to 943 of the family's 3401-position model. The record is from RNAcentral. Lineage: Eukaryota; Fungi; Ascomycota; Dothideomycetes; Pleosporales.